AGUCGAGCGGUAACAUUUCUAGCUUGCUAGAAGAUGACGAGCGGCGGACGGGUGAGUAAUACUUAGGAAUCUACCUAGUAGUGGGGGAUAGCACGGGGAAACUCGUAUUAAUACCGCAUACGACCUACGGGAGAAAGGGGGCAGUUUACUGCUCUCGCUAUUAGAUGAGCCUAAGUCGGAUUAGCUAGAUGGUGGGGUAAAGGCCUACCAUGGCGACGAUCUGUAGCUGGUCUGAGAGGAUGAUCAGCCACACCGGGACUGAGACACGGCCCGGACUCCUACGGGAGGCAGCAGUGGGGAAUAUUGGACAAUGGGGGAAACCCUGAUCCAGCCAUGCCGCGUGUGUGAAGAAGGCCUUUUGGUUGUAAAGCACUUUAAGCAGUGAAGAAGACUCUUCGGUUAAUACCCGGAGACGAUGACAUUAGCUGCAGAAUAAGCACCGGCUAACUCUGUGCCAGCAGCCGCGGUAAUACAGAGGGUGCAAGCGUUAAUCGGAAUUACUGGGCGUAAAGGGAGCGUAGGUGGCUCGAUAAGUCAGAUGUGAAAUCCCCGGGCUCAACCUGGGAACUGCAUCUGAUACUGUUGAGCUAGAGUAGGUGAGAGGGAGGUAGAAUUUCAGGUGUAGCGGUGAAAUGCGUAGAGAUCUGAAGGAAUACCGAUGGCGAAGGCAGCCUCCUGGCAUCAUACUGACACUGAGGCUCGAAAGCGUGGGUAGCAAACAGGAUUAGAUACCCUGGUAGUCCACGCCGUAAACGAUGUCUACUAGUCGUUGGG
Molecule: ribosomal RNA, 774 nt
Filed under: Moraxellaceae bacterium 94-6PB
Lineage: Bacteria; Pseudomonadati; Pseudomonadota; Gammaproteobacteria; Moraxellales; Moraxellaceae
Description: bacterial SSU rRNA
Rfam family: Bacterial small subunit ribosomal RNA
Source: RNAcentral